Molecule: long non-coding RNA, 4071 nt
Organism: Bombyx mori (domestic silkworm)
Lineage: Eukaryota; Metazoa; Arthropoda; Insecta; Lepidoptera; Bombycidae
Exons: 2
Source: RefSeq, a predicted model, not a curated record
ACGGUAAUUAACAACGUUGGCUGUCAUGUAUGUCACCGGUGCCUUACGUGGUGCACUGAAGUAAUUAUGCCGAUUUCUCUCUUCAAUGUUCUUACCAAAGCGCCGGAAUACCUAGAAUAGACCAUCGGAAAGACGAAUCCCCUCGACAAAAUGAUGCCGAUAUUAUAUAUAGUCCGUACCGUACCUUAAGACUUAAUUGAAACCAGUUUUGAAAUGGGAUUGUGCCACGGUAAGAUUGUCCAUUAUCAAUGGCAAAACAAAAUAAAAAUAUAAAGCUAGAGAGACAAGAAACGUUCUUAUCGUGCCCCGUGACCAGACAGUGAAGUCAAUAUUGGUGGAACAGACAGCGACACGUGUCCGCAUUGUUGAGCAAUCAUUAGUAUUUUUGUAAAAAAAUUCGUUAUCGUAUCGUACACAAGACACGAGCCGGACAUGCCUACAUUCCACGACCUUAUCCCUAGACCAGUGAUUCUCAACCUUUUUUUGUUGCGGUACAUAUUUAACGAUUUCAAAAUUUGGCGGCACACAAAGAAAAAGAUAAAAAUUAUUUACUUACUACAACACACUGCAUAAAUAGUUUAUGACAAAAAAAAAAAAUAUACGAAAUAAACUAAUAUAUACUACAAUAACGACUAAACGUUUAUUAAGGGAUUAAUUACAAGCUAAUAAUAAAAAUAUUUUUAAUGCGAAAUUUGAGCUUGAUGUUUUUUGAUAAUUUCAUUUAUAUUUGGUCGUCAAAAUGACAAUUUUACUCUCAUAUCGUCCUCUACAUUUAACAAUCUUGAUCUUUUUUUAGUUUUAAUGUUGGCUAAUGCUGAAAAUCCGAAUUCACACAAAUAAGAUGUGGAAAAUUGUAAUAAUAUGUUUAAAGCUUUUUUUGGCUAUCAUUCCUAUCCUAUACUAUCAUAUCCUAUCACCUAACGUUAUCAUUAUCACUAUUAUCAUCAUUAAACUUUCUUCUUUUUAACCAUUUAUCCAUUUUCAGAAUGAUCUGAUAAAAUAAAAAUAAUAUUGUCGAAACAUUUAAAAAAAAUGGUUCAAAUAUUACCUUUGAAUUUAUAAUAAUCUAAAUUAUGCACUCACUUAUAAUUUAUGAAUAUGGAAAAUUAAACCUUUCUGAAAUUGUGAAACUUUCACUCAAAUACAAUUUUCCGUAGAUAAAACUUAAAUGUUAUGCGAAGAAAUACAGACACAGUGUGCGUGUGCAGCAAGUCAGCACAUAAGCUCGGGAUUCCCCGUGAGAUGUGUACACAGCGCACGUGUUCAAUCACAGUAUUUAGUAGAGUGCGAUAAAAACAAAAAAAACUUAUUUGGAAAACCGUGUAAAAGCGAAAACGUGUAAAACAAGUGCCGUGUAAAUCGGGGCAUAGGUGUACUGCAAAGUUAAUAAGUUUACAAAUUUAUAAAUUGACACUACAUGCAAAUAAAUUAAUAUUAAACCGAAUCACAUACAUUUGCCAAUUUUAACGAAAGAAAAGGUGCAGUAACUACUAUGCAACACCUUGUGAACCCCAACUAUCACUAAAACAACACGUUUUGUACGCAGAAGUGGCAAGUGUGCGCCGACUUGAGACAUAUUCCUAUUGCUAUGCACGCCGCUUCAUCAUAAUUUGGCACUAAGAAAAAACGCGUUGCAAAGCAAAUAAUAAAAUAAUUUAUUUUUUUGUGGAUUUAAAUAUAUAUUCAUGCUAAAAAUAUUUUUCUUUUUAAAUGAUAUAAUUUAAUAAUAUUAACAUUAUUAUAUAUUUGCAAAAUUUGGCGGCACACUUUUGAAAUUUGGCGGCACACAAAAGUGCCGCGGCACAGUGGUUGAGAAUCACUGCCCUAGACAUUCAUUCAUGUAAUGAUUGGAUUGUCCAUAUAGUAGAUUGUAGCUCUGAUCGAGAUACUAGAGGUCAGUUGUUAUUCGGUUGGUGCCAAUGCCCCCUAAACUGACGAAUUGCCUCUGUAGACUACUCUUUCAGUGUACAUAACGUUUCACUUUUCCUUUUUAUAUGUCUAAGCUGUCUCUUGAAACAAGUUUCUAAAGAGUCCUCAACGACUCUGGUAUCUGGCGCUAUAGAUGAAAUUGCUAGUGUACAUACACAAGCAUGAAUAAUUACCGGUAGGUAGCUAGAGAAUAUUUAAAUAUUCGUUGAACAUUGUAAAUCGAAACAAUCCUUUCCCUAAUCGUACUGGGUAAAAAUCACCCAUGUAGCAAAAGGAACUAAAUUAAUGGAACAUUUUUAAUUACAAAAAAUAAAUAAAACUCAAGUUGAUUAAAAUUAAUAUGUAUUUAUUUUUCAUUCUUUGACAACCAGAACAAAUCCUUUAAUAAUGUGCAUAUAAUAAAUUUCUAAUCUUUUAUAUUCAAUAUAGUAUUUUAUUUAGUCUCCAAAAAACCGAUGAUACAGCCGGAAAACAAUUAGAUUUUAUUUUUGGUAGAAAAUACGAUAGAAAUUAACGCAUACAAUAAUGAAAUACAUAUUAAUUAUAAAAUAAAUCAAUACUUUAUUAAUUAUUUAGAAAAUCACUAAAAUGAGUACUACUUACAAUUUUUAAAGAUGACGAACUUCUAUUUUACUUCAGUAUGGCAAUCGGCUUCUUGGAUAGAAAUCCAAUUCUAAUCAUCCAAUUCCAUGCAAUUACUUUAACGGAGUCUAGUAGCUCGUUGUAAUACAAGGAUUCGCCUUGAACUAGAAUUUUCUUGAGCUCGACCUAUAGGUAUUUAUCGUUUUCUGGGACGUAUUUCUCCAAUCCCGUCCAAUUCCUUAAUUUAAUUAUUUUUCCAAAAUCCAAGGAAGUAGUAGGUAAUAAUAACGGCGAGCUGUUAUUCCUCUAAACAACUAUUCGCGGCUCAGCUCAAACAAGUGACCUUGUAAAUUCUGUUGUGGUAUUGCGACAGCUGGAAAGGCAACAACGCAUCAGUUGAAGGCAUUAAAAUGAACAGCGAUCGGCAGACGAGCUCAAGGCCCAUUCAAUGUUAAGCGGUUACCAGAACACAUAUACAUUACAACGCAAAUGACCCAAUUAAUCAUUAUAGCAUAAUAGUUGUGUGCGGGCUCACAACUAUAGUACCUAGUCACUCGACUCAUAUACCCUGAGCGUCCUACGCAUUAGGCUGCUUGUUUGAUGCUUAAUAUACAUUUUAACCUAAAGUUUCUCUCGCGGCGGAAGAAGAUAUUCAUUGUUAUUUAUAUAAGCACCGGUAACUGCCUGAUAUCAGAUACGAGUGACCUCUUCCGAUCGUUUACAUAAAAAAUACAUAUUUUAUAAUAAUAAUUAAAAAUUCCUACGAAUUUUUGUACUACUUGAAUUUCCACUAACUACGAAACCUAUUUAUAUUUAGUUAGGAUUUGAAGUUGGAGAUUUACAGAAUAGCGGCAAAAGGCAGGUGUAUUGGCGGUGAACGACGCGGUUAUUAUUAAAACCUCAAAAAGGCAAACUGGUCGAAUUCAUAACAAGGAAACCUGGAUGAUAUGUGUAGCCAAUCGUAGGUGGUUCAGGAUACAUCACAUGAACGUUUGCUCAAAGUGGGAGUCGAAUCCACAACCCUCAGCCUCGUAGCAAGGCGCGCUAACCUACUCCGCCAACAAAUUGGUCAUCAACAACAAAUACCGGAAUAACUUAAAAUUACUAUGUAACCUAACCGUGAAAUGGAACAAUUUAUUGGGAUUUUUAGGGGCGUAUUUACACAAAUAUACACAACUCCAUUAUUGGAACACCAUAACCUCCACGCUUUUAUUAUAAAUUUGUAAAUUCUCAAAUGACAAUUUGUAAGAUAUGAUCAUGUUUAUUUAUUUUUAAUAUUGGCAAUGCAUUAGUAGCAAAAAAAAUUUUUCAGUCGUAAAAAUGACACUAGACUGCAUUAACAUUUAAGUAUCUUAUUUAUUUGGUAAAAUACAUUUUUUAAAUGUCAUUAGGUAUCAAUCACGAUCACUUGCAAUUUACUCGUAACAUUGCAUAUCACAUGAAUACCUAGUCUAGCCAUAAGUUCUAUUACAAAUGAAAAUGCAUUUUUUUUAAAUUAAGUAAUAUAAUAUUAUUAAAAUGUAUACAUACGUGUUUAUUAAAUUCUCAGCUCUAAAAAAA